CAGUCGAACGGACUCAUAUUGAAACCUAGUGAUUUAUGAGUUAGUGGCGGACGGGUGAGUAACGCGUGGAUAACCUGCCGUAUACCGGGGGAUAACACUUAGAAAUAGGUGCUAAUACCGCAUAAGCGCACGGCUCCGCAUGGGGCAGUGUGAAAAACUCCGGUGGUAUACGAUGGAUCCGCGUCUGAUUAGCUAGUUGGCGGGGUAACGGCCCACCAAGGCAGCGAUCAGUAGCCGGCCUGAGAGGGUGGACGGCCACAUUGGGACUGAGACACGGCCCAAACUCCUACGGGAGGCAGCAGUGGGGAAUAUUGCACAAUGGGGGAAACCCUGAUGCAGCGACGCCGCGUGAGUGAAGAAGUAUCUCGGUACGUAAAGCUCUAUCAGCAGGGAAGAAAAUGACGGUACCUGACUAAGAAGCCCCGGCUAACUACGUGCCAGCAGCCGCGGUAAUACGUAGGGGGCAAGCGUUAUCCGGAUUUACUGGGUGUAAAGGGAGCGUAGACGGCAGCACAAGUCUGGAGUGAAAUCCCGGGGCUUAACCCCGGAACUGCUUUGGAAACUGUGCGGCUGGAGUGCAGGAGGGGUAAGCGGAAUUCCUAGUGUAGCGGUGAAAUGCGUAGAUAUUAGGAGGAACGCCGGUGGCGAAGGCGGCUUACUGGACUGUAACUGACGUUGAGGCUCGAAAGCGUGGGGAGCAAACAGGAUUAGAUACCCUGGUAGUCCACGCCGUAAACGAUGAUUACUAGGUGUCGGGGGAUCAAGGUCCUCCGGUGCCGGCGCAAACGCAUUAAGUAAU
This 799-nucleotide ribosomal RNA is filed under the name uncultured bacterium. RNAcentral describes it as "bacterial SSU rRNA". It matches the Rfam family "Bacterial small subunit ribosomal RNA", at positions 59 to 868 of the family's 1533-position model. The record is from RNAcentral.